This 433-nucleotide ribosomal RNA is filed under the name uncultured bacterium. RNAcentral's name for it is "partial 16S ribosomal RNA". It matches the Rfam family "Bacterial small subunit ribosomal RNA", at positions 29 to 507 of the family's 1533-position model. The record is from RNAcentral.
AACGAACGCUGGCGGCAUGCCUAACACAUGCAAGUCGAACGAUGCCUUCGGGCAUAGUGGCGCACGGGUGCGUAACGCGUGGGAAUCUGCCUUUCGGUUCGGAAUAACUCAGGGAAACUUGAGCUAAUACCGGAUAACGUCGCAAGACCAAAGAUUUAUCACCGAAAGAUGAGCCCGCGUAGGAUUAGCUAGUUGGUGAGGUAAAGGCUCACCAAGGCGACGAUCCUUAGCUGGUCUGAGAGGAUGAUCAGCCACACUGGGAGUGAGACACGGCCCAGACUCCUACGGGAGGCAGCAGUGGGGAAUAUUGGACAAUGGGCGAGAGCCUGAUGCAGCAAGGCCGCGUGAGUGAUGAAGGCCUUAGGGUUGUAAAGCUCUUUUACCCGGGAAGAUAAUGACGGUACCGGGAGAAUAAGCCCCGGCUAACUCCGUG